UACGUAGGGUGCAAGCGUUGUCCGGAAUUAUUGGGCGUAAAGAGCUCGUAGGUGGCCUGUCGCGUCGGCUGUGAAAACUCGGGGCUCAACUCCGAGCUUGCAGUCGAUACGGGCAGGCUAGAGUUCGGCAGGGGAGACUGGAAUUCCUGGUGUAGCGGUGAAAUGCGCAGAUAUCAGGAGGAACACCGGUGGCGAAGGCGGGUCUCUGGGCAAUAACUGACGCUGAGGAGCGAAAGCGUGGGGAGCGAACAGG
RNAcentral lists this ribosomal RNA (253 nucleotides) under uncultured bacterium. Its description in RNAcentral is "partial 16S ribosomal RNA". It matches the Rfam family "Bacterial small subunit ribosomal RNA", at positions 524 to 776 of the family's 1533-position model. The record is from RNAcentral.